GUCUCGGGCCGAUUCGUCCUCUGUCUCUCUCUUCUUUUUUUUCUUUCCUUGUGGCGGCCGUUCUCGGCUCCCCGUCCACUCUCUCGCUCGACUACUCUUUUUCCUCCUCUCCCUUUUUCUUCUACGACCUCCCUCUUCUUUUCCUCUCUUUCUCUCUUCCCUCUCAGUUGAUCGACUCACCUCUCUCUCUUUUUUGGCUUCUCUCCUAAAUGAAAAAAACCCUAAUCUCUUUCCCUUUUAUACCCAUUUCCCCAGCCGUUGGAUCUCACAAGCUCGAUCUGGGUUGUUCGUCUUCCAUAAAAUCUCAGUCAUUUGAUCUUUUCAGAUGGUUCGAUUAGGACCGUCCGUUCUCUGAUUUCUUUUUGCCCUCUUUCACUUCAACUUAUUUAUAUUUUCACCCCCAUUU
Molecule: long non-coding RNA, 406 nt
Filed under: Carica papaya (papaya)
Lineage: Eukaryota; Viridiplantae; Streptophyta; Magnoliopsida; Brassicales; Caricaceae
Description: long non-coding RNA (CPAP_LNC004154)
Source: RNAcentral